RNAcentral lists this transfer RNA (70 nucleotides) under Marmota monax (woodchuck). RNAcentral's name for it is "tRNA.Ala". Lineage: Eukaryota; Metazoa; Chordata; Mammalia; Rodentia; Sciuridae. The record is from RNAcentral.
GGGCUGGGGCUCAGCGGUAGGGCGCUCAUCUGGCAUGUGUGAGGCCCUGGGUUCCAUCCUCAGCACCACA